Molecule: ribosomal RNA, 305 nt
Filed under: uncultured bacterium
Lineage: Bacteria
Description: bacterial SSU rRNA
Rfam family: Bacterial small subunit ribosomal RNA
Source: RNAcentral
CCUACGGGGGGCAGCAGUGGGGGAUAUUGCACAAUGGGGGAAGCCCUGAUGCAGCGACGCCGCGUGUGGGAAGACGGUCCUCUGGAUUGUAAACCACUGUCCCCAGGGACGAAGAUGACGGUACCUGGGGAGGAAGCUCCGGCUAACUACGUGCCAGCAGCCGCGGUAAUACGUAGGGGGCAAGCGUUAUCCGGAUUUACUGGGUGUAAAGGGAGCGUAGACGGUUGUGCAAGUCAGAAGUGAAAGCCCGGGGCUCAACUCCGGGACUGCUUUUGAAACUGUGAAACUGGAGUGCAGGAGAGGUA